Molecule: small RNA, 131 nt
Filed under: Enterobacter mori
Lineage: Bacteria; Pseudomonadati; Pseudomonadota; Gammaproteobacteria; Enterobacterales; Enterobacteriaceae
Description: RtT sRNA
Rfam family: RtT RNA
About the family: This family represents a bacterial cis-regulatory element known as RtT RNA. The exact function of RtT is unknown although it is thought that it may be involved in changing the cellular response in relation to amino acid starvation.
Source: RNAcentral
GCAUUUCCGUGACGGGGAAGGAUGAGAAGCUUCGACUAAGGUUCGAUUCGAGCGUAGCGAGAAAGCGUUGCCGCAGGCAACGACCCGAAGGGCGAGGCGCAACGCGCCGAGUAAUCCUUCCCCCACCACCA